This 253-nucleotide ribosomal RNA is filed under the name uncultured bacterium. RNAcentral describes it as "partial 16S ribosomal RNA". It matches the Rfam family "Bacterial small subunit ribosomal RNA", at positions 524 to 776 of the family's 1533-position model. The record is from RNAcentral.
UACGUAGGGCGCGAGCGUUGCUCGGAAUCACUGGGCGUAAAGGGUGCGUAGGCGGGUCUUUAAGUCAGGGGUGAAAUCCUGGAGCUCAACUCCAGAACUGCCUUUGAUACUGAAGAUCUUGAGUUCGGGAGAGGUGAGUGGAACUGCGAGUGUAGAGGUGAAAUUCGUAGAUAUUCGCAAGAACACCAGUGGCGAAGGCGGCUCACUGGCCCGAUACUGACGCUGAGGCACGAAAGCGUGGGGAGCAAACAGG